RNAcentral lists this ribosomal RNA (253 nucleotides) under uncultured Rhodospirillaceae bacterium. Its description in RNAcentral is "partial 16S ribosomal RNA". It matches the Rfam family "Bacterial small subunit ribosomal RNA", at positions 524 to 776 of the family's 1533-position model. Lineage: Bacteria; Pseudomonadati; Pseudomonadota; Alphaproteobacteria; Rhodospirillales; Rhodospirillaceae. The record is from RNAcentral.
UACGAAGGGGGCUAGCGUUGUUCGGAAUUACUGGGCGUAAAGCGUGCGUAGGCGGCUUUGUCAGUCAGAGGUGAAAUCCCGGGGCUCAACCUCGGAAUUGCCUUUGAUACUGCGAAGCUUGAAUGCGAGAGAGGUGAGUGGAAUUCCGAGUGUAGAGGUGAAAUUCGUAGAUAUUCGGAGGAACACCAGUGGCGAAGGCGGCCACCUGGCUCGUUAUUGACGCUGAGGCACGAAAGCGUGGGGAGCAAACAGG